AAGGACAUGUGGAGCGCUUAGAAGUGAGAAUGCCGGUGUGAGUAGCGAAAGACGGGUGAGAAUCCCGUCCACCGAUUGACUAAGGUUUCCAGAGGAAGGCUCGUCCGCUCUGGGUUAGUCGGGUCCUAAGCUGAGGCCGACAGGCGUAGGCGAUGGAUAACAGGUUGAUAUUCCUGUACCACCUAUAAUCGUUUUAAUCGAUGGGGGGACGCAGUAGGAUAGGCGAAGCGUGCGAUUGGAUUGCACGUCUAAGCAGUAAGGCUGAGUAUUAGGCAAAUCCGGUACUCGUUAAGGCUGAGCUGUGAUGGGGAGAAGACAUUGUGUCUUCGAGUCGUUGAUUUCACACUGCCGAGAAAAGCCUCUAGAUAGAAAAUAGGUGCCCGUACCGCAAACCGACACAGGUAGUCAAGAUGAGAAUUCUAAGGUGAGCGAGCGAACUCUCGUUAAGGAACUCGGCAAAAUGACCCCGUAACUUCGGGAGAAGGGGUGCUCUUUAGGGUUAACGCCCAGAAGAGCCGCAGUGAAUAGGCCCAAGCGACUGUUUAUCAAAAACACAGGUCUCUGCUAAACCGUAAGGUGAUGUAUAGGGGCUGACGCCUGCCCGGUGCUGGAAGGUUAAGAGGAGUGGUUAGCUUCUGCGAAGCUACGAAUCGAAGCCCCAGUAAACGGCGGCCGUAACUAUAACGGUCCUAAGGUAGCGAAAUUCCUUGUCGGGUAAGUUCCGACCCGCACGAAAGGCGUAACGAUUUGGGCACUGUCUCAACGAGAGACUCGGUGAAAUCAUAGUACCUGUGAAGAUGCAGGUUACCCGCGACAGGACGGAAAGACCCCGUGGAGCUUUACUGUAGCCUGAUAUUGAAAUUCGGCACAGCUUGUACAGGAUAGGUAGGAGCCUUUGAAACGUGAGCGCUAGCUUACGUGGAGGCGCUGGUGGGAUACUACCCUAGCUGUGUUGGCUUUCUAACCCGCACCACUUAUCGUGGUGGGAGACAGUGUCAGGCGGGCAGUUUGACUGGGGCGGUCGCCUCCUAAAAGGUAACGGAGGCGCUCAAAGGUUUCCUCAGAAUGGUUGGAAAUCAUUCAUAGAGUGUAAAGGCAUAAGGGAGCUUGACUGCGAGACCUACAAGUCGAGCAGGGUCGAAAGACGGACUUAGUGAUCCGGUGGUUCCGCAUGGAAGGGCCAUCGCUCAACGGAUAAAAGCUACCCCGGGGAUAACAGGCUUAUCUCCCCCAAGAGUUCACAUCGACGGGGAGGUUUGGCACCUCGAUGUCGGCUCAUCGCAUCCUGGGGCUGUAGUCGGUCCCAAGGGUUGGGCUGUUCGCCCAUUAAAGCGGUACGCGAGCUGGGUUCAGAACGUCGUGAGACAGUUCGGUCCCUAUCCGUCGUGGGCGUAGGAAAUUUGAGAGGAGCUGUCCUUAGUACGAGAGGACCGGGAUGGACAUACCUCUGGUGUACCAGUUGUCGUGCCAACGGCAUAGCUGGGUAGCUAUGUGUGGACGGGAUAAGUGCUGAAAGCAUCUAAGCAUGAAGCCCCCCUCAAGAUGAGAUUUCCCAACUUCGGUUAUAAGAUC
This 1572-nucleotide ribosomal RNA is filed under the name Staphylococcus aureus. RNAcentral describes it as "LSU rRNA". It matches the Rfam family "Bacterial large subunit ribosomal RNA", at positions 1265 to 2835 of the family's 2925-position model. Lineage: Bacteria; Bacillati; Bacillota; Bacilli; Caryophanales; Staphylococcaceae. The record is from RNAcentral.